This 458-nucleotide ribosomal RNA is filed under the name uncultured Sphingobacteriales bacterium. RNAcentral's name for it is "bacterial SSU rRNA". It matches the Rfam family "Bacterial small subunit ribosomal RNA", at positions 923 to 1382 of the family's 1533-position model. The record is from RNAcentral. Lineage: Bacteria; Pseudomonadati; Bacteroidota; Sphingobacteriia; Sphingobacteriales.
GCACAAGCGGUGGAGCAUGUGGUUUAAUUCGAUGAUACGCGAGGAACCUUACCGUGGGCUCAAAUGUAUGUUGACGUAUUCUGAAAGGGAUACUUCUUCGGACAAUAUACAAGGUGCUGCAUGGUUGUCGUCAGCUCGUGCCGUGAGGUGUCGGGUUAAGUCCCAUAACGAGCGCAACCCCUAUCAUUAGUUGCCAUCAGGUCAAGCUGGGGACUCUAAUGAAACUGCCUACGCAAGUAGUGAGGAAGGCGGGGAUGACGUCAAAUCAGCACGGCCCUUACGUCCAGGGCUACACACGUGCUACAAUGGCCGAUACAGAGGGCAGCUACCUGGUGACAGGAUGCAAAUCUCCAAAGUCGGUCUCAGUUCGGAUCGGAGUCUGCAACCCGACUCCGUGAAGUUGGAUUCGCUAGUAAUCGCGCAUCAGCCAUGGCGCGGUGAAUACGUUCCCGGGCCUU